RNAcentral lists this unclassified non-coding RNA (200 nucleotides) under Ascomycota sp. RNAcentral describes it as "partial internal transcribed spacer 2". The record is from RNAcentral. Lineage: Eukaryota; Fungi; Ascomycota.
UUAAGUUCAGCGGGUAUCCCUACCUGAUCCGAGGUCAACCUGUAAAAAAUUGGGGGUUACUGGCAAGACACCACCGAGACCCUAUAGCGAGAAGAAUUACUACGCUCAGAGCUCGGAGGCACCGCCACUGGGUUUAGAGGCUGCGGAAUCGCAGGUCCCAAGACAAGCCGAAGCUUGAUGGGUUGAAAUGACGCUCGAAC